AGAAACGUCUGAACUGUGCAUAGUGAAGUACAUAUUUGCUAUGACAGAUUGAUCAAAAUUUAAAUUUUCAAACUCAUUUAAAAACAAAAAAAGUCUUUUUCCUUAUAAUAUUCGAAUGAAAUGAUGUAAUGGUAAUUUUAGUACUUUAAACUUCAUACGAAAACAGGCGUUCGCAUAGAAGAGAUUUUCAUUUAUUCUGAAAGUUAGUUUUUACGUAAGCAAUUCAGCAAUUUCAAUCCUUUUUUUUAUUUUUCUGUAACGCACAUUUGGAGGAAAAGUGUACAAGAAAUGGGUUGAUGAAUAUCGCUAAAAGUUGUUGCUCACUCACUUCUACAUACAUACUUAUAUGUAUAGCCUAUUAACUGUAAUGAGUAAUAAAUAGAUUUAGUUGAGUUG
Bombus terrestris (buff-tailed bumblebee) is the source of this 396-nucleotide long non-coding RNA. RefSeq lists it as uncharacterized. The transcript has 2 exons. The record is from RefSeq and is a predicted model, not a curated record. NCBI's taxonomy places the organism in Eukaryota, Metazoa, Arthropoda, Insecta, Hymenoptera, Apidae.